AAAUAAGAAGCAAUUUUGCAUUUAAUUUCGACUUAAAAGAUAGGGUAAGACACCUCUUAUUUA
RNAcentral lists this transfer RNA (63 nucleotides) under Hypsopygia regina. RNAcentral describes it as "tRNA-Arg". The record is from RNAcentral. Lineage: Eukaryota; Metazoa; Arthropoda; Insecta; Lepidoptera; Pyralidae.